UGACAUCACGUUGAUGGCCAUGCUACCC
Molecule: non-coding RNA, 28 nt
Filed under: Homo sapiens (human)
Lineage: Eukaryota; Metazoa; Chordata; Mammalia; Primates; Hominidae
Source: RNAcentral